UUCCCCUAGUANCUGCGAGUGAAGCGGNAAAAGCUCAANUUUAAANUCUGGCGNUCUUUGGCCGUCCGAGUUGUAAUCUAGAGAAGUGCUAUCCGCGCUGGACCGUGUACAAGUCUCCUGGAAUGGAGCGUCAUAGAGGGUGAGAAUCCCGUCUUUGACACGGACUACCAGGGCUUUGUGAUGUGCUCUCAAAGAGUCGAGUUGUUUGGGAAUGCAGCUCAAAAUGGGUGGUAAAUUCCAUCUAAAGCUAAAUAUUGGCGAGAGACCGAUAGCGAACAAGUACCGUGAGGGAAAGAUGAAAAGAACUUNGGAAAGAGAGUUAAACAGUACGUGAAAUUGCUGAAAGGGAAACGCUUGAAGUCAGUCGCGUUGGCCGGGGAUCAACCUUGCUUUUGCUGGGUGUACUUUCCGGUUGACGGGUCAGCAUCAAUUUUGACCGUUGGAUAAAGUCUAUAGGAAUGUGGCUCUUUCGGGAGUGUUAUAGCCUGUAGUCGUAUACAACGGUUGGGAUUGAGGAACUCAGCACGCCGCAAGNCCGGG
Molecule: ribosomal RNA, 540 nt
Filed under: Psilocybe caerulescens
Lineage: Eukaryota; Fungi; Basidiomycota; Agaricomycetes; Agaricales; Agrocybaceae
Description: eukaryotic LSU rRNA
Rfam family: Eukaryotic large subunit ribosomal RNA
Source: RNAcentral